AGCGGGGCGUGCGGUUGCGGGGCGAAAGCCACGAGGAAAGUCCGCGCUCCAAUCGGCAAGGAUGCCGCCUAACGGACGGUGAAGGUAACUUUAAGGAAAGUGCAACAGAAAAUUACCGCGCUUUAAAAGCGUAAGGGUGAAAAGGCAGGGUAAGAGCCUACCGACGACGCGGAGACGCGCCGUGCAGUGUAAACCCCAUUCGGAGCAAGAUAGGGGCGACUCAAUCGGCAGCCGAGCCGAGUCGCCCGUUAAACGUCGCUUGAGGUCGUCGGCAACGACGAUCCUAGAUAGAUAACCGCAUUAAAUGACAGAACGCGGCUUAUAACCCCGCUUGU
This 335-nucleotide RNase P RNA is filed under the name human gut metagenome. RNAcentral's name for it is "Bacterial RNase P class A". It matches the Rfam family "Bacterial RNase P class A". From Rfam's summary of the family: Ribonuclease P (RNase P) is a ubiquitous endoribonuclease, found in archaea, bacteria and eukarya as well as chloroplasts and mitochondria. Its best characterised activity is the generation of mature 5'-ends of tRNAs by cleaving the 5'-leader elements of precursor-tRNAs. The record is from RNAcentral.